UACGGAGGAUGCAAGCGUUAUCCGGAUUUAUUGGGUUUAAAGGGUGCGUAGGCGGGGCCUUAAGUCAGUGGUGAAAUCCUGCAGCUUAACUGUAGAAUUGCCAUUGAUACUGAGGCUCUUGAGUUCGAUUGAAGUAGGCGGAAUGUGUAAUGUAGCGGUGAAAUGCUUAGAGAUUACACAGAACACCGAUUGCGUAGGCAGCUUACUAAGUCGACACUGACGCUGAGGCACGAAAGCGUGGGGAUCGAACAGG
RNAcentral lists this ribosomal RNA (253 nucleotides) under uncultured bacterium. RNAcentral's name for it is "partial 16S ribosomal RNA". It matches the Rfam family "Bacterial small subunit ribosomal RNA", at positions 524 to 776 of the family's 1533-position model. The record is from RNAcentral.